This 250-nucleotide ribosomal RNA is filed under the name uncultured prokaryote. Its description in RNAcentral is "partial 16S ribosomal RNA". It matches the Rfam family "Bacterial small subunit ribosomal RNA", at positions 524 to 773 of the family's 1533-position model. The record is from RNAcentral.
UACAGAGGGUGCAAACGUUGCUCGGAAUCACUGGGCGUAAAGGGCGUGUAGGCGGGAAGGCAAGUCAGAUGUGAAAGCCCCAGGCUCAACCUGGGAACUGCAUUUGAAACUGCUUUUCUUGAGUACCGGAGAGGAAAGUGGAAUACCUGGUGUAGAGGUGAAAUUCGUAGACAUCAGGUGGAACACCAGUGGCGAAGGCGGCUUUCUGGACGGUAACUGACGCUGAGACGCGAAAGCGUGGGGAGCAAAC